AUUGAACGCUGGCGGCAGGCCUAACACAUGCAGGUCGAGCGGAUGAAGGGAGCUUGCUCCUGGAUUCAGCGGCGGACGGGUGAGUAAUGCCUAGGAAUCUGCCUGGUAGUGGGGGAUAACGUCCGGAAACGGGCGCUAAUACCGCAUACGUCCUGAGGGAGAAAGUGGGGGAUCUUCGGACCUCACGCUAUCAGAUGAGCCUAGGUCGGAUUAGCUAGUUGGUGGGGUAAAGGCCUACCAAGGCGACGAUCCGUAACUGGUCUGAGAGGAUGAUCAGUCACACUGGAACUGAGACACGGUCCAGACUCCUACGGGAGGCAGCAGUGGGGAAUAUUGGACAAUGGGCGAAAGCCUGAUCCAGCCAUGCCGCGUGUGUGAAGAAGGUCUUCGGAUUGUAAGGCACUUUAAGUUGGGAGGAAGGGCAGUAAGUUAAUACCUUGCUGUUUUGACGUUACCAACAGAAUAAGCACCGGCUAACUUCGUG
RNAcentral lists this ribosomal RNA (484 nucleotides) under uncultured bacterium. Its description in RNAcentral is "partial 16S ribosomal RNA". It matches the Rfam family "Bacterial small subunit ribosomal RNA", at positions 30 to 507 of the family's 1533-position model. The record is from RNAcentral.